Molecule: transfer RNA, 67 nt
Filed under: Neocaridina denticulata (Japanese swamp shrimp)
Lineage: Eukaryota; Metazoa; Arthropoda; Malacostraca; Decapoda; Atyidae
Also listed under: 3 other names
Description: tRNA-Val
Source: RNAcentral
UGGAUUGUAGCUUAAUUAGAAGCAUCUCAGUUACGUUGGGAAGAUCACUAAAUGUAGUGUAGUCCAA